Long non-coding RNA from Malurus melanocephalus (red-backed fairy wren), 251 nucleotides. RefSeq lists it as uncharacterized. NCBI's taxonomy places the organism in Eukaryota, Metazoa, Chordata, Aves, Passeriformes, Maluridae. The transcript has 3 exons. The record is from RefSeq and is a predicted model, not a curated record.
CGGCAGCAGCGGGCGGGGCCGGGCCGGGCCGGGGCCAUGGCCGAGGGCAGGAGCGGCAGCGCCGGGCUCUUCGCCAGGCAGGUCCAGAAGCGCUUCAGCCGAGCCCAGGAGAAGGUUUUGCAAAAAUUGGGCAAAACGGUGGAAACCAAAGAUGAGCAGUUCGAGCAGAGCGCCUACAACUUCCACCUGCAGCAGAACGAGGGUCACAAACUCUACAAGGAGCUCAAGGGGUUCGUGGGAGCCGUGAGAGG